UUACGGUCAAAUCACGCUGAAACACCGGUUCUCGUUCGAUCACCGAAGUUAAGCAUCGUAGAGCCAGGUCAGUACUUUGAUGGGGGACCGCUUGGGAACACCUGGUACUGUAAG
Molecule: ribosomal RNA, 114 nt
Filed under: Acanthosepion pharaonis
Lineage: Eukaryota; Metazoa; Mollusca; Cephalopoda; Sepiida; Sepiidae
Source: RNAcentral